CCUACGGGAGGCAGCAGUGAGGAAUAUUGGACAAUGGUCGAAAGACUGAUCCAGCCAUGCCGCGUGCAGGAAGACGGCCCUAUGGGUUGUAAACUGCUUUUGUUUGGGAAGAAACCUUUCUACGUGUAGAAAGCUGACGGUACCAUACGAAUAAGCACCGGCUAACUCCGUGCCAGCAGCCGCGGUAAUACGGAGGGUGCAAGCGUUAUCCGGAUUUAUUGGGUUUAAAGGGUCCGUAGGCGGACUUAUAAGUCAGUGGUGAAAUCCUGCAGCUCAACUGUAGAACUGCCAUUGAUACUGUAAGUCUUGAAUUCGGUUGAAGUGGGCGGAAUAUGGCAUGUAGCGGUGAAAUGCUUAGAUAUGCCAUAGAACACCGAUUGCGUAGGCAGCUCACUAAGCCUGGAUUGACGCUGAGGGACGAAAGCGUGGGUAGCGAACAGGAUUUAGAUACCCUGGUAGUCCCACGACCGUAACGAUAGAUACUCGACAUAGUCGAUACUACGGUUAGUAGUCUAUAAG
RNAcentral lists this ribosomal RNA (519 nucleotides) under uncultured bacterium. RNAcentral describes it as "bacterial SSU rRNA". It matches the Rfam family "Bacterial small subunit ribosomal RNA", at positions 338 to 853 of the family's 1533-position model. The record is from RNAcentral.